RNAcentral lists this ribosomal RNA (483 nucleotides) under uncultured bacterium. RNAcentral describes it as "partial 16S ribosomal RNA". It matches the Rfam family "Bacterial small subunit ribosomal RNA", at positions 28 to 507 of the family's 1533-position model. The record is from RNAcentral.
GAUGAACGCUAGCGGCAGGCCUAAUACAUGCAAGCCGAACGGCAAGUUUGAUAGCAAUAUUGGACCUAGAGUUGCGCAAUGGUGCGUAACACGUAUGCAACCUGCCCGCGACAGGAGGAUAGCUCCCCGAAAGGGGAAUUAACCCUCCAUAACACCAUGAGAAUUCAUCUGAUUAUGGUUAAACUGCACGGGGUCGCGGAUGGGCAUGCGGUUGAUUCGCUAGUUGGCGGGGUAAAGGCCCACCAAGGCGGUGAUCAAUAGGGGUUCUGAGAGGAAGGUCCCCAACACUGGCACUGAGAUACGGGACAGACUCCUACGGGAGGCAGCAGUAGGGAAUAGUGGACAAUGGUUGCAAGACUGAUCCAGCCAUGCCGCGUGCAGGAAGAAGGCCUUCUGGGUCGUAAACUGCUUUUUCCUGUGGAUAAAAUACCCGUGCGCGGGGAAUUGAAGGUAACAGGGGAAUAAGCCACGGCUAACUACGUG